This 529-nucleotide ribosomal RNA is filed under the name Acidovorax sp. 09WSH4-3. RNAcentral's name for it is "bacterial SSU rRNA". It matches the Rfam family "Bacterial small subunit ribosomal RNA", at positions 256 to 777 of the family's 1533-position model. Lineage: Bacteria; Pseudomonadati; Pseudomonadota; Betaproteobacteria; Burkholderiales; Comamonadaceae. The record is from RNAcentral.
GAUAAAAGCUUACCAAGCCGACGAUCUGUAGCUGGUCUGAGAGGACGACCAGCCACACUGGGACUGAGACACGGCCCAGACUCCUACGGGAGGCAGCAGUGGGGAAUUUUGGACAAUGGGCGCAAGCCUGAUCCAGCCAUGCCGCGUGCAGGAUGAAGGCCUUCGGGUUGUAAACUGCUUUUGUACGGAACGAAAAGCCUCUUUCUAAUAAAGAGGGGUCAUGACGGUACCGUAAGAAUAAGCACCGGCUAACUACGUGCCAGCAGCCGCGGUAAUACGUAGGGUGCGAGCGUUAAUCGGAAUUACUGGGCGUAAAGCGUGCGCAGGCGGUAAUGUAAGACAGAUGUGAAAUCCCCGGGCUCAACCUGGGAACUGCAUUUGUGACUGCAUUGCUGGAGUGCGGCAGAGGGGGAUGGAAUUCCGCGUGUAGCAGUGAAAUGCGUAGAUAUGCGGAGGAACACCGAUGGCGAAGGCAAUCCCCUGGGCCUGCACUGACGCUCAUGCACGAAAGCGUGGGGAGCAAACAGGA